This 77-nucleotide transfer RNA is filed under the name Candidatus Zambryskibacteria bacterium CG10_big_fil_rev_8_21_14_0_10_42_12. Its description in RNAcentral is "tRNA-Asp". It matches the Rfam family "tRNA". From Rfam's summary of the family: Transfer RNA (tRNA) molecules are approximately 80 nucleotides in length. Their secondary structure includes four short double-helical elements and three loops (D, anti-codon, and T loops). The record is from RNAcentral. Lineage: Bacteria; Candidatus Zambryskiibacteriota.
GCGGGUGUAGCUCAGCUGGUUAGAGCGUCCGCCUGUCACGCGGAAGGUCGUGGGUUCAAGUCCCAUCACUCGCGCAA